Molecule: ribosomal RNA, 771 nt
Filed under: uncultured Burkholderia sp.
Lineage: Bacteria; Pseudomonadati; Pseudomonadota; Betaproteobacteria; Burkholderiales; Burkholderiaceae
Description: bacterial SSU rRNA
Rfam family: Bacterial small subunit ribosomal RNA
Source: RNAcentral
UACAUCGGAACAUGUCCUGUAGUGGGGGGUAGCCCGGCGAAAGCCGGAUUAAUACCGCAUACGAUCUACGGAUGAAAGCGGGGGACCUUCGGGCCUCGCGCUAUAGGGCUGGCCGAUGGCUGAUUAGCUAGUUGGUGGGGUAAAGGCCUACCAAGGCGACGAUCAGUAGCUGGUCUGAGAGGACGACCAGCCACACUGGGACUGAGGCACGGCCCAGACUCCUACGGGAGGCAGCAGUGGGGAAUUUUGGACAAUGGGGGCAACCCUGAUCCAGCAAUGCCGCGUGUGUGAAGAAGGCCUUCGGGUUGUAAAGCACUUUUGUCCGGAAAGAAAUCCUCUGUCCUAAUACGACGGGGGGAUGACGGUACCGGAAGAAUAAGCACCGGCUAACUACGUGCCAGCAGCCGCGGUAAUACGUAGGGUGCGAGCGUUAAUCGGAAUUACUGGGCGUAAAGCGUGCGCAGGCGGUUCGCUAAGACCGAUGUGAAAUCCCCGGGCUUAACCUGGGAACUGCAUUGGUGACCGGCGGGCUAGAGUAUGGCAGAGGGGGGUAGAAUUCCACGUGUAGCAGUGAAAUGCGUAGAGAUGUGGAGGAAUACCGAUGGCGAAGGCAGCCCCCUGGGCCAAUACUGACGCUCAUGCACGAAAGCGUGGGGAGCAAACAGGAUUAGAUACCCUGGUAGUCCACGCCCUAAACGAUGUCAACUAGUUGUUGGGGAUUCAUUUCCUUAGUAACGUAGCUAACGCGUGAAGUUGACCGCCUGGGGAGUA